AUUGAACGCUGGCGGCAGGCCUAACACAUGCAAGUCGAGCGGAUGAAGGGAGCUUGCUCCUGGAUUCAGCGGCGGACGGGUGAGUAAUGCCUAGGAAUCUGCCUGGUAGUGGGGGAUAACGUCCGGAAACGGGCGCUAAUACCGCAUACGUCCUGAGGGAGAAAGUGGGGGAUCUUCGGACCUCACGCUAUCAGAUGAGCCUAGGUCGGAUUAGCUAGUUGGUGGGGUAAAGGCCUACCAAGGCGACGAUCCGUAACUGGUCUGAGAGGAUGAUCAGUCACACUGGAACUGAGACACGGUCCAGUCUCCUACGGGAGGCAGCAGUGGGGAAUAUUGGACAAUGGGCGAAAGCCUGAUCCGGCCAUGCCGCGUGUGUGAAGAAGGUCUUCGGAUUGUAAAGCACUUUAAGUUGGGAGGAAGGGCAGUAAGUUAAUACCUUGCUGUUUUGACGUUACCAACAGAAUAAGCACCGGCUAACUUCGUG
Molecule: ribosomal RNA, 484 nt
Filed under: uncultured bacterium
Lineage: Bacteria
Description: partial 16S ribosomal RNA
Rfam family: Bacterial small subunit ribosomal RNA
Source: RNAcentral